RNAcentral lists this ribosomal RNA (488 nucleotides) under uncultured bacterium. Its description in RNAcentral is "partial 16S ribosomal RNA". It matches the Rfam family "Bacterial small subunit ribosomal RNA", at positions 28 to 507 of the family's 1533-position model. The record is from RNAcentral.
GAUGAACGCUAGCGGCAGGCCUAAUACAUGCAAGUCGGACGGGAUCCAUUGAUAGCUUGCUAUCCAUGGUGAGAGUGGCGCACGGGUGCGUAACGCGUGAGCAACCUGCCUCCAUCAGGGGGAUAGCCUCUCGAAAGAGAGAUUAACACCGCAUAAUAUCAACAGUUCGCAUGUUCAGUUGAUUAAAUAUUUAUAGGAUGGAGAUGGGCUCGCGUGACAUUAGCUAGUUGGUAGGGUAACGGCUUACCAAGGCGACGAUGUCUAGGGGCUCUGAGAGGAGAAUCCCCCACACUGGUACUGAGACACGGACCAGACUCCUACGGGAGGCAGCAGUAAGGAAUAUUGGUCAAUGGGCGGAAGCCUGAACCAGCCAUGCCGCGUGCAGGAUGACUGCCCUAUGGGUUGUAAACUGCUUUUGUCCAGGAAUAAACCUAAAUACGAGUAUUUAGCUGAAUGUACUGGAAGAAUAAGGAUCGGCUAACUCCGUG